RNAcentral lists this ribosomal RNA (2787 nucleotides) under Escherichia coli. RNAcentral's name for it is "bacterial LSU rRNA". It matches the Rfam family "Bacterial large subunit ribosomal RNA". The record is from RNAcentral. RNAcentral also lists the same sequence under 1 other name. Lineage: Bacteria; Pseudomonadati; Pseudomonadota; Gammaproteobacteria; Enterobacterales; Enterobacteriaceae.
AGCGUACACGGUGGAUGCCCUGGCAGUCAGAGGCGAUGAAGGACGUGCUAAUCUGCGAUAAGCGUCGGUAAGGUGAUAUGAACCGUUAUAACCGGCGAUUUCCGAAUGGGGAAACCCAGUGUGAUUCGUCACACUAUCAUUAACUGAAUCCAUAGGUUAAUGAGGCGAACCGGGGGAACUGAAACAUCUAAGUACCCCGAGGAAAAGAAAUCAACCGAGAUUCCCCCAGUAGCGGCGAGCGAACGGGGAGCAGCCCAGAGCCUGAAUCAGUGUGUGUGUUAGUGGAAGCGUCUGGAAAGGCGCGCGAUACAGGGUGACAGCCCCGUACACAAAAAUGCACAUGCUGUGAGCUCGAUGAGUAGGGCGGGACACGUGGUAUCCUGUCUGAAUAUGGGGGGACCAUCCUCCAAGGCUAAAUACUCCUGACUGACCGAUAGUGAACCAGUACCGUGAGGGAAAGGCGAAAAGAACCCCGGCGAGGGGAGUGAAAAAGAACCUGAAACCGUGUACGUACAAGCAGUGGGAGCACGCUUAGGCGUGUGACUGCGUACCUUUUGUAUAAUGGGUCAGCGACUUAUAUUCUGUAGCAAGGUUAACCGAAUAGGGGAGCCGAAGGGAAACCGAGUCUUAACUGGGCGUUAAGUUGCAGGGUAUAGACCCGAAACCCGGUGAUCUAGCCAUGGGCAGGUUGAAGGUUGGGUAACACUAACUGGAGGACCGAACCGACUAAUGUUGAAAAAUUAGCGGAUGACUUGUGGCUGGGGGUGAAAGGCCAAUCAAACCGGGAGAUAGCUGGUUCUCCCCGAAAGCUAUUUAGGUAGCGCCUCGUGAAUUCAUCUCCGGGGGUAGAGCACUGUUUCGGCAAGGGGGUCAUCCCGACUUACCAACCCGAUGCAAACUGCGAAUACCGGAGAAUGUUAUCACGGGAGACACACGGCGGGUGCUAACGUCCGUCGUGAAGAGGGAAACAACCCAGACCGCCAGCUAAGGUCCCAAAGUCAUGGUUAAGUGGGAAACGAUGUGGGAAGGCCCAGACAGCCAGGAUGUUGGCUUAGAAGCAGCCAUCAUUUAAAGAAAGCGUAAUAGCUCACUGGUCGAGUCGGCCUGCGCGGAAGAUGUAACGGGGCUAAACCAUGCACCGAAGCUGCGGCAGCGACGCUUAUGCGUUGUUGGGUAGGGGAGCGUUCUGUAAGCCUGCGAAGGUGUGCUGUGAGGCAUGCUGGAGGUAUCAGAAGUGCGAAUGCUGACAUAAGUAACGAUAAAGCGGGUGAAAAGCCCGCUCGCCGGAAGACCAAGGGUUCCUGUCCAACGUUAAUCGGGGCAGGGUGAGUCGACCCCUAAGGCGAGGCCGAAAGGCGUAGUCGAUGGGAAACAGGUUAAUAUUCCUGUACUUGGUGUUACUGCGAAGGGGGGACGGAGAAGGCUAUGUUGGCCGGGCGACGGUUGUCCCGGUUUAAGCGUGUAGGCUGGUUUUCCAGGCAAAUCCGGAAAAUCAAGGCUGAGGCGUGAUGACGAGGCACUACGGUGCUGAAGCAACAAAUGCCCUGCUUCCAGGAAAAGCCUCUAAGCAUCAGGUAACAUCAAAUCGUACCCCAAACCGACACAGGUGGUCAGGUAGAGAAUACCAAGGCGCUUGAGAGAACUCGGGUGAAGGAACUAGGCAAAAUGGUGCCGUAACUUCGGGAGAAGGCACGCUGAUAUGUAGGUGAAGUCCCUCGCGGAUGGAGCUGAAAUCAGUCGAAGAUACCAGCUGGCUGCAACUGUUUAUUAAAAACACAGCACUGUGCAAACACGAAAGUGGACGUAUACGGUGUGACGCCUGCCCGGUGCCGGAAGGUUAAUUGAUGGGGUUAGCGCAAGCGAAGCUCUUGAUCGAAGCCCCGGUAAACGGCGGCCGUAACUAUAACGGUCCUAAGGUAGCGAAAUUCCUUGUCGGGUAAGUUCCGACCUGCACGAAUGGCGUAAUGAUGGCCAGGCUGUCUCCACCCGAGACUCAGUGAAAUUGAACUCGCUGUGAAGAUGCAGUGUACCCGCGGCAAGACGGAAAGACCCCGUGAACCUUUACUAUAGCUUGACACUGAACAUUGAGCCUUGAUGUGUAGGAUAGGUGGGAGGCUUUGAAGUGUGGACGCCAGUCUGCAUGGAGCCGACCUUGAAAUACCACCCUUUAAUGUUUGAUGUUCUAACGUUGACCCGUGAUCCGGGUUGCGGACAGUGUCUGGUGGGUAGUUUGACUGGGGCGGUCUCCUCCUAAAGAGUAACGGAGGAGCACGAAGGUUGGCUAAUCCUGGUCGGACAUCAGGAGGUUAGUGCAAUGGCAUAAGCCAGCUUGACUGCGAGCGUGACGGCGCGAGCAGGUGCGAAAGCAGGUCAUAGUGAUCCGGUGGUUCUGAAUGGAAGGGCCAUCGCUCAACGGAUAAAAGGUACUCCGGGGAUAACAGGCUGAUACCGCCCAAGAGUUCAUAUCGACGGCGGUGUUUGGCACCUCGAUGUCGGCUCAUCACAUCCUGGGGCUGAAGUAGGUCCCAAGGGUAUGGCUGUUCGCCAUUUAAAGUGGUACGCGAGCUGGGUUUAGAACGUCGUGAGACAGUUCGGUCCCUAUCUGCCGUGGGCGCUGGAGAACUGAGGGGGGCUGCUCCUAGUACGAGAGGACCGGAGUGGACGCAUCACUGGUGUUCGGGUUGUCAUGCCAAUGGCACUGCCCGGUAGCUAAAUGCGGAAGAGAUAAGUGCUGAAAGCAUCUAAGCACGAAACUUGCCCCGAGAUGAGUUCUCCCUGACUCCUUGA